This 301-nucleotide ribosomal RNA is filed under the name uncultured bacterium. Its description in RNAcentral is "partial 16S ribosomal RNA". It matches the Rfam family "Bacterial small subunit ribosomal RNA", at positions 509 to 809 of the family's 1533-position model. The record is from RNAcentral.
CAGUCGCCGCGGUAAUACGAAGGGGGCUAGCGUUGCUCGGAAUCACUGGGCGUAAAGGGUGCGUAGGCGGGUCUUUAAGUCAGGGGUGAAAUCCUGGAGCUCAACUCCAGAACUGCCUUUGAUACUGAAGAUCUUGAGUUCGGGAGAGGUGAGUGGAACUGCGAGUGUAGAGGUGAAAUUCGUAGAUAUUCGCAAGAACACCAGUGGCGAAGGCGGCUCACUGGCCCGAUACUGACGCUGAGGCACGAAAGCGUGGGGAGCAAACAGGAUUAGAUACCCCCGUAGUCCCUGUCUCUUAUAU